RNAcentral lists this ribosomal RNA (447 nucleotides) under Pseudomonas fluorescens. RNAcentral describes it as "bacterial SSU rRNA". It matches the Rfam family "Bacterial small subunit ribosomal RNA", at positions 112 to 555 of the family's 1533-position model. Lineage: Bacteria; Pseudomonadati; Pseudomonadota; Gammaproteobacteria; Pseudomonadales; Pseudomonadaceae. The record is from RNAcentral.
AAUGCCUAGGAAUCUGCCUAGUAGUGGGGGAUAACGUCCGGAAACGGGCGCUAAUACCGCAUACGUCCUACGGGAGAAAGUGGGGGAUCUUCGGACCUCACGCUAUUAGAUGAGCCUAGGUCGGAUUAGCUAGUUGGUGAGGUAAUGGCUCACCAAGGCUACGAUCCGUAACUGGUCUGAGAGGAUGAUCAGUCACACUGGAACUGAGACACGGUCCAGACUCCUACGGGAGGCAGCAGUGGGGAAUAUUGGACAAUGGGCGAAAGCCUGAUCCAGCCAUGCCGCGUGUGUGAAGAAGGUCUUCGGAUUGUAAAGCACUUUAAGUUGGGAGGAAGGGCAGUUACCUAAUACGUGAUUGUUUUGACGUUACCGACAGAAUAAGCACCGGCUAACUCUGUGCCAGCAGCCGCGGUAAUACAGAGGGUGCAAGCGUUAAUCGGAAUUACU